This 245-nucleotide ribosomal RNA is filed under the name uncultured bacterium. RNAcentral's name for it is "partial 16S ribosomal RNA". It matches the Rfam family "Bacterial small subunit ribosomal RNA", at positions 524 to 761 of the family's 1533-position model. The record is from RNAcentral.
GACGAACCGUCCUAACGUUGUUCGGAAUCACUGGGCUUAAAGGGCGCGUAGGCGGUCGGCAAAGUCAGGGGUGAAAUCUUUCGGCUCAACCCGGAAAAGUGCCUUUGAAACUAGUGACUCGAGCGAGAUAGGGGCACGUGGGAAACUUCCGGUGGGAGCGGUGAAAUGACGUUGAUAUCGGAAGGAAACGCCGGUGGCGAAAGCGAACGUGCUGGGAUCUCUUCUGACGCUGAGGCGCGAAAAAG